RNAcentral lists this ribosomal RNA (623 nucleotides) under Escherichia coli. Its description in RNAcentral is "partial 23S ribosomal RNA". It matches the Rfam family "Bacterial large subunit ribosomal RNA", at positions 2308 to 2925 of the family's 2925-position model. The record is from RNAcentral. Lineage: Bacteria; Pseudomonadati; Pseudomonadota; Gammaproteobacteria; Enterobacterales; Enterobacteriaceae.
GCACGAAGGUUGGCUAAUCCUGGUCGGACAUCAGGAGGUUAGUGCAAUGGCAUAAGCCAGCUUGACUGCGAGCGUGACGGCGCGAGCAGGUGCGAAAGCAGGUCAUAGUGAUCCGGUGGUUCUGAAUGGAAGGGCCAUCGCUCAACGGAUAAAAGGUACUCCGGGGAUAACAGGCUGAUACCGCCCAAGAGUUCAUAUCGACGGCGGUGUUUGGCACCUCGAUGUCGGCUCAUCACAUCCUGGGGCUGAAGUAGGUCCCAAGGGUAUGGCUGUUCGCCAUUUAAAGUGGUACGCGAGCUGGGUUUAGAACGUCGUGAGACAGUUCGGUCCCUAUCUGCCGUGGGCGCUGGAGAACUGAGGGGGGCUGCUCCUAGUACGAGAGGACCGGAGUGGACGCAUCACUGGUGUUCGGGUUGUCAUGCCAAUGGCACUGCCCGGUAGCUAAAUGCGGAAGAGAUAAGUGCUGAAAGCAUCUAAGCACGAAACUUGCCCCGAGAUGAGUUCUCCCUGACUCCUUGAGAGUCCUGAAGGAACGUUGAAGACGACGACGUUGAUAGGCCGGGUGUGUAAGCGCAGCGAUGCGUUGAGCUAACCGGUACUAAUGAACCGUGAGGCUUAACCUU